AAUACCCAAUCCUGACACAGGGAGGUAGUGACAAGAAAUAACAAUACAGGGCUAUUGUCUUGUAAUUGGAAUGAUGGUGACUUAAACCCUCACCAGAGUACCAAUUGGAGGGCAAGUCUGGUGCCAGCAGCCGCGGUAAUUCCAGCUCCAAUAGCGUAUAUUAAACUUGUUGCAGUUAAAAAGCUCGUAGUUGAAUUUCAGCGUUGUUUUCGUGUUCCCUUUUUGCGGGUUUCGUCUACUUCGCUUUUUUUUAUUACUUUGAGAAAAUUAGAGUGUUUCAAGCAGGCUUUUGUCUUGAAUACUUGAGCAUGGAAUAAUAGAGUAGGACCUUGGUUCUUCUUUGUUGGUUUUUGUUACCUUGGUAAUGGUUAAUAGGAACGGUUGGGGGCAUUCGUAUUUAA
This 401-nucleotide ribosomal RNA is filed under the name Babesia sp. RNAcentral describes it as "SSU rRNA". It matches the Rfam family "Eukaryotic small subunit ribosomal RNA", at positions 439 to 901 of the family's 1831-position model. The record is from RNAcentral. Lineage: Eukaryota; Apicomplexa; Aconoidasida; Piroplasmida; Babesiidae.